This 370-nucleotide ribosomal RNA is filed under the name uncultured Methanomicrobiales archaeon. RNAcentral's name for it is "bacterial SSU rRNA". It matches the Rfam family "Archaeal small subunit ribosomal RNA", at positions 971 to 1338 of the family's 1478-position model. Lineage: Archaea; Methanobacteriati; Methanobacteriota; Methanomicrobia; Methanomicrobiales. The record is from RNAcentral.
UCGGACUUAGCUGAGAGGUAGGUGCAUGGCCGUCGUCAGUUCGUACUGUGAAGCAUCCUGUUAAGUCAGGCAACGAGCGAGACCCACGCCAACAGUUGCCAGCUCGUCCUCCGGGAUGGUGGGGACACUGUUGGGACCGCCUCUGCUAAAGAGGAGGAAGGAAUGGGCAACGGUAGGUCAGCAUGCCCCGAAUUAUCUGGGCUACACGCGGGCUACAAUGGGUGGGACAAUGGGUAUCGACACCGAAAGGUGAAGGCAAUCUCCUAAACCCAUCCGUAGUUCGGAUUGUGGGCUGCAACUCGCCCACAUGAAGCUGGAAUCUGUAGUAAUCGUGUCUCAAAAUGGCACGGUGAAUAUGUCCCUGCUCCUU